UACGUAGGGGGCUAGCGUUGUCCGGAUUUAUUGGGCGUAAAGAGCGUGUAGGCGGCCAGGUAGGUCUGCUGUGAAAACUCGAGGCUCAACCUCGAGACGUCGGCGGAAACCAUCUGGCUAGAGUCCGGAAGAGGAGAGUGGAAUUCCAGGUGUAGCGGUGAAAUGCGUAGAUAUCUGGAGGAACACCGGUGGCGAAGGCGGCAUCCUGGACCAACACUGACACUGAGGAGCGAAAGCCAGGGGAGCAAACGGG
Molecule: ribosomal RNA, 253 nt
Filed under: uncultured bacterium
Lineage: Bacteria
Description: partial 16S ribosomal RNA
Rfam family: Bacterial small subunit ribosomal RNA
Source: RNAcentral